GGCGUUUUCCGUCGAUAUUGACGUAUAUUUUUAUUCACCAAUGAAAAUUGGAAUAAAAAUACAUUUUCAUGCUCGUACACUUUGUUAUUCAUUUGAAAUUAUGUUUUUACCUUUAAAAAAUACAUUGACUCAUUCUUAUUCAUAUUCUUAUUAAGGAGGUGUACCUUUCUAUUUUUGUAUAUAUCUCAAUUUACGUCAUUUCAUUCAUGAAAGGUCUGGACAACACGAUGAUGUAACUGGUCUAUUUCAAAAUAGACCGGGUCACAUGACAAUUACGAUAGUAUUGACUAUAAACCGUACCGUACAGGUAAUAAAUAUUCUCAGUUGUAGAUUUACCUGCGGUGUAGUCGAGAGUGAAUUAAACUUCAUUAAUUUAAUAUAUACCUAACAGGAGGAUUUUCAAACUUUUUUUUAAGUGACAGUUUAUUAAACCUGCAAUAAUGACUUUGGGAUGUGGUGCGUCAGUUGCCAAAGUUAUACUGGUUAUAGUUAACACUAUUUUCCUGGUAAGUUACUUUAAUUUGUUCUAUCUUU
RNAcentral lists this long non-coding RNA (534 nucleotides) under Mytilus galloprovincialis (Mediterranean mussel). The record is from RNAcentral. Lineage: Eukaryota; Metazoa; Mollusca; Bivalvia; Mytilida; Mytilidae.